This is a long non-coding RNA of Chelonus insularis, 670 nucleotides long. RefSeq lists it as uncharacterized. The transcript is spliced from 3 exons. NCBI's taxonomy places the organism in Eukaryota, Metazoa, Arthropoda, Insecta, Hymenoptera, Braconidae. The record is from RefSeq and is a predicted model, not a curated record.
AUUAGCGCCACUUGGAUCCCUUUGUCGACAUCCACAUCAAGUGAGAUGAUUGUCAGUCAAAAUCAACUGAUCAUAUAUCUUUUUCUCCCAGUUGAUGCUCAUUAUUCAUCAACAAUGAAAGAUAUUAAAAGGUCUUUGGAAGGCAUUAUGAAAGUAUCAGGCAAAAGUGAUUCUCAAUUACUCCAUUAAAGAUUUGAACUCUGUAGCAAAUUGCAAAGUUGCAUUGGAUCUUGAGAACAGACGGCAAAGAUGCAAGCGAGGAUUAAUCAAUUUUGGUUUUUCUACUCGAAACGAAGCGUCAGGGCGCUGAGUAAACAUGGAACAAAAGCUGUUGGAUGACUUGCUGCUCGCAAGCUAGAUACCUUUCUGAGCAUUUUGCGAGAGAAAAGAUAUCGUCAAGGCGUGCACGAAGGGAAAAACAAUGUGAUCUUCCAUGGGAGAAAGAAACUAACAGCUCUCAUUCCACCAGCAACUCGGCGAGCAUCGUAAACGUUUCGUUAUUCCCGUGAGCAACAGAUCUCAAGACAUUGCUCGACAAAAACAGACUUUGAACAUGUGAAGAGAAAGAUUUCCUUCAACAUUCCAGCCUUUAUUAUACGCAGUUUGAAAUGUAUGCUAUUGAAAACAUCCGUGGUCAUUACAAAAAAUAUUUACAUCAUGAAUGAAAGUG